Molecule: ribosomal RNA, 492 nt
Filed under: uncultured bacterium
Lineage: Bacteria
Description: partial 16S ribosomal RNA
Rfam family: Bacterial small subunit ribosomal RNA
Source: RNAcentral
AGUGAACGCUGGCGGUAGGCCUAACACAUGCAAGUCGAACGGCAGCACAGUAAGAGCUUGCUCUUACGGGUGGCGAGUGGCGGACGGGUGAGGAAUACAUCGGAAUCUACUUUUUCGUGGGGGAUAACGUAGGGAAACUUACGCUAAUACCGCAUACGACCUACGGGUGAAAGCAGGGGAUCAUCCGACCUUGCGCGAUUGAAUGAGCCGAUGUCGGAUUAGCUAGUUGGCGGGGUAAAGGCCCACCAAGGCGACGAUCCGUAGCUGGUCUGAGGGGAUGAUCAGCCACACUGGAACUGAGACACGGUCCAGACUCCUACGGGAGGCAGCAGUGGGGAAUAUUGGACAAUGGGCGCAAGCCUGAUCCAGCCAUACCGCGUGGGUGAAGAAGGCCUUCGGGUUGUAAAGCCCUUUUGUUGGGAAAGAAAAGCAGCAGGUUAAUACCCCGCUGUUCUGACGGUACCCAAAGAAUAAGCACCGGCUAACUUCGUG